RNAcentral lists this long non-coding RNA (1445 nucleotides) under Aotus nancymaae (Ma's night monkey). Its description in RNAcentral is "lncRNA (ENSANAG00000039565.1)". Lineage: Eukaryota; Metazoa; Chordata; Mammalia; Primates; Aotidae. The record is from RNAcentral.
UCACAUCUUGCCUUCUAUUAAAGGAGGGUGGGCUUGAGUGUUUCCGUGCUGAAGGGACAGUGUGAGGAGAGCAGCUCAGUGUGGUUGAUAAGUAGGCCCCAAGGGUGCAGGCCUGAGGUCUUGGGGAGAGGCCAUGGGCUCUGCCGAGGGUGGGAGGAAGGCGAGGGCCCAAAGGACCGGUCCUGGUGCUUCCUUGUGUUGUGGAUAGGUCUUUGAGAUUAACUAGAUCCGGAUGAAGGGUUUUCACGAGGGACAUACACUGUGUGGGGCCUUGGUGUGAGGCUCCUGGGUACCUGUUAGGACCUUGCCUCCAUCCGUGUGGUGCCCAGUUUUGCUGGUUCUCAGGGGUUCCCCGGCUGCAUGUUAGAAUCCUGGUUUCUGUUCUGAUUCUCCUUCCAGGUGGGUGAAGAGGGACAGUUAUCUUCCCGUGGGCAGCCAUAACCUCAAGGCGGCUGCCAAGGCCAAGCUGGGCUAUGAUCCUGUGGAGCUGGACCCGGAGGACAUGUGCCGCAUGGCCACCGAGCAGCCCCAGGCACGUGAGCCACAUCCCGGCUCCCCUUGCUGCCGUGCGUGUGCACGUGUGCCAGCCCACUCCACCCAGCAGGCUGGCCAGGCCAGGCUUUGCUUUCUGUGCUUCACACUUGGCCGUGGGCUCUUGGCUCUGAUGACUCUGCUCUCUGGCGCUCUCUCCUCAGACGCUGGCCACGUACUCCGUGUCAGACGCCGUCGCCACUUACUACCUGUACAUGAAGUACGUCCACCCCUUCAUCUUCGCUCUGUGCACCAUUAUUCCCAUGGAGCCCGACGAGGUGCUGCGGAAAGGCUCUGGCACUCUGUGCGAGGCCUUGCUGAUGGUGCAGGCCUUCCACGCCAACAUCAUCUUCCCCAACAAGCAGGAGCAGGAGUUCAAUAAGCUAACGGACGAUGGACACGUGCUGGACUCCGAGACCUACGUGGGGGGCCACGUGGAGGCCCUCGAGUCUGGGGUCUUCCGCAGUGAUAUCCCUUGCCGGUUUAGGAUGAAUCCCGCCGCCUUUGAUUUCCUGCUGCAGCGGGUUGAGAAGACCUUGCGUCACGCCAUUGAGGAAGAAGAGAAGGUGCCCGUGGAACAAGUCACCAACUUUCAAGAGGUAACCGUCCAGGAGGCAGGAGGAGCUAGUCUGUUCAUGCGCCUUCUUCACAAACCACGUCUUUCAGCAGCACAUUCGUUGUGCGUCUGCUGCGUGUGGUGCUGUGGACGGAUGACACAGGGUCUCUGGUGGGACAGGGCAGUCAUGGUUGUGACGUGUGAUGCUUUCUACCGAGGUCGGAGGGCUUCAUGAGAAGGUGGGGUGUGAGCUGCUCCUGAAAUGUGGUCACACGGCAGGUGGGCCCUGGUGGGAUGUGUUCGUGCCCCGUUUUAAGGCAUUGGGACUUUAUUUCGUAGGCAUUGGGGAGACAUUGGA